Molecule: ribosomal RNA, 1504 nt
Filed under: Clostridioides difficile
Lineage: Bacteria; Bacillati; Bacillota; Clostridia; Peptostreptococcales; Peptostreptococcaceae
Description: partial 23S ribosomal RNA
Rfam family: Bacterial large subunit ribosomal RNA
Source: RNAcentral
GGUCAAGUUAUUAAGGGUGCAGGGCGGAUGCCUUGGCACUAGGAGCCGAUGAAGGACGUGAUAAGCUGCGAUAAGCUUCGGGGAGUUGCACGUAAACUUUGAUCCGAAGAUUUCCGAAUGAGGAAACUCACUUAGAGUAAUGUCUAAGUAUCAUUAAGUGAAUACAUAGCUUAAUGAGGGGAACUCAGGGAACUGAAACAUCUAAGUACCUGAAGGAAGAGAAAGAAAUUCGAUUCCGUAAGUAGCGGCGAGCGAACGCGGAUUAGCCCAAACCAAUAAAGUUUUCUUUAUUGGGGUUGCGGACAUAUCAUAACGAAGAGGUAUCGUAAUUGAAGAGGUUUGGAAAGACCCACCACAGAAGGUAAUAGUCCUGUAUGUUAAACGAGAAGACUUCAGAUAUGAUCCAGAGUACCACGGGACACGUGAAACCCUGUGGGAAGCAGGAGGGACCACCCUCCAAGGCUAAAUACUACCUAGUGACCGAUAGCGUAUAGUACCGUGAGGGAAAGGUGAAAAGAACCCCGGGAGGGGAGUGAAAUAGAACCUGAAACCCUGCACUUACAAGCUGUGGAAGCACAUUUCUUGUGUGACCGCGUACUUUUUGUAGAACGGGCCAACGAGUUACGUUAAGUAGCAAGGUUAAGCACUUAAGGUGCGGAGCCGUAGCGAAAGCGAGUUUUAACUGAGCGUUCAGUUACUUGACGUAGACCCGAAACCGGGCGACCUACCCAUGAGCAGGAUGAAGCGAAAGUAAAAUUUCGUGGAGGUCCGAACCCACGAGCGUUGAAAAGCUCGGGGAUGACUUGUGGGUAGCGGUGAAAUUCCAAUCGAGCCCGGAGAUAGCUGGUUCUCCCCGAAAUAGCUUUAGGGCUAGCCUCAAGGUGAGAGAUACGGAGGUAGAGCACUGAAUGUCCUAGGGGGUAUUGCACCUACCGAAGACUAUCAAACUCCGAAUGCCGUCAUCUUAUACUUGGGAGUCAGACUGUGGGUGAUAAGAUUCAUAGUCGAAAGGGCAACAGCCCAGAUCGUCAGCUAAGGUCCCUAAAUGUAAGUUAAGUGGUAAAGGAUGUGGGAUUGCACAGACAACCAGGAUGUUGGCUUAGAAGCAGCCACUCAUUCAAAGAGUGCGUAAUAGCUCACUGGUCGAGUGAUCCUGCGCCGAAGAUUUCCGGGGCUAAAACUUACUACCGAAGCUACGGCAUCAGUAAUGAUGGGUAGGGGAGCUUCCCAUACGGGUUGAAGCAUGACCGUAAGGACAUGUGGACAGUAUGGGAGUGAGAAUGUUGGCAUGAGUAGCGAGAUGUGGGUGAGAAUCCCACAGGCCGUAAACCCAAGGUUUCCAGGGGAAGGUUCGUCCGCCCUGGGUUAGUCGGGACCUAAGCUGAGGCCGAAAGGCGUAGGUGAUGGACAACAGGUUGAUAUUCCUGUACUACCGAUAACCGUUUGAGAGAAGGGAUGACACAGUAGGAUAAGCUAAGCACACUGUUGGUUAUGUGUGCCCAAG